AUACGGAGGGUGCAAGCGUUGUUCGGAAUCACUGGGCGUAAAGGGCGCGCAGGCGGUUUGGUAAGUUAGAUGUGAAAGCCCACGGCUCAACCGUGGAAGUGCAUUUGAAACUGUCAGACUUGAGUACUAGAGGGGAAAGUGGAAUUCCCGGUGUAGAGGUGAAAUUCGUAGAUAUCGGGAGGAAUACCGGUGGCGAAGGCGACUUUCUGGCUAGAUACUGACGCUGAGGCGCGAAAGCGUGGGGAGCAAACAGGAUUAGAAACCCUAGUAGUCC
This 274-nucleotide ribosomal RNA is filed under the name uncultured bacterium. RNAcentral describes it as "partial 16S ribosomal RNA". It matches the Rfam family "Bacterial small subunit ribosomal RNA", at positions 523 to 796 of the family's 1533-position model. The record is from RNAcentral.